GAAUCUGCCCUCAGGAGGGGGGUAACGGUUGGAAACGACCGCUAAUACCCCAUAUGCCGAGAGGUGAAACGAAAUUCGCCUGAGGAUGAGCCCGCGUCUGAUUAGCUAGUUGGUGGGGUAAAGGCCUACCAAGGCAUCGAUCAGUAGCUGGUCUGAGAGGAUGAUCAGCCACACUGGGACUGAGACACGGCCCAGACUCCUACGGGAGGCAGCAGUGGGGAAUUUUCCGCAAUGGGCGCAAGCCUGACGGAGCAACGCCGCGUGAGGGAUGAAGGCCUCUGGGCUGUAAACCUCUUUUCUCAAGGAAGAAGAACUGACGGUACUUGAGGAAUAAGCCACGGCUAAUUCCGUGCCAGCAGCCGCGGUAAUACGGGAGUGGCAAGCGUUAUCCGGAAUUAUUGGGCGUAAAGCGUCCGCAGGCGGCCUUGAAAGUCUGUUGUUAAAGCGUGGAGCUUAACUCCAUUUCGGCGGUGGAAACUACAAGGCUUGAGUGUGGUAGGGGCAGAGGGAAUUCCCGGUGUAGCGGUGAAAUGCGUAGAUAUCGGGAAGAACACCAGUGGCGAAGGCGCUCUGCUGGGCCAUAACUGACGCUCAUGGACGAAAGCUAGGGGAGCG
This 615-nucleotide ribosomal RNA is filed under the name uncultured Synechococcus sp. RNAcentral describes it as "bacterial SSU rRNA". It matches the Rfam family "Bacterial small subunit ribosomal RNA", at positions 122 to 770 of the family's 1533-position model. The record is from RNAcentral. Lineage: Bacteria; Bacillati; Cyanobacteriota; Cyanophyceae; Synechococcales; Synechococcaceae.